CCCCCCCCGCAGUACAAUUACAUGCACGAGUGCUUUGAGCGGAUCUUCUGUGAGCUGAGAUGGUACCGGGAGGUUGAAGAUGACGUCUCCAACGCUGACAACAAGAGCUGCAGCGAUGACAGCAUGUGCAGCAAGAAUAUAUUCCAGAUCCUGCGAUCACAGAGGAGAUCAGCCAGCUCUUAGCCUUCCGGAAGGAUCUAGUGCAUAACCCCCACCGGCCUCCCAACACCGCUGAUUCCCCGUGGGGAUCACGCUACAGCGUCUGAGGAAGCGGGGCGAGGACUCAGAAAACAUGAACUACAUUUCUGGCUGUGGGGAAGGGCUGCAGUGUGACUCUCUGACACCUUGAAACCUCCCAAUCUCUGGGGCGGUGCCUUAGCGGAGCCCCCGUCUGCUUUGACCUCUGACCCUUGUCCCAAAUUCUCUGGCCCUCCCUC
Non-coding RNA from Chiloscyllium plagiosum (whitespotted bambooshark), 437 nucleotides. The record is from RefSeq and is a predicted model, not a curated record. NCBI's taxonomy places the organism in Eukaryota, Metazoa, Chordata, Chondrichthyes, Orectolobiformes, Hemiscylliidae.